Molecule: ribosomal RNA, 497 nt
Filed under: uncultured bacterium
Lineage: Bacteria
Description: partial 16S ribosomal RNA
Rfam family: Bacterial small subunit ribosomal RNA
Source: RNAcentral
GAUGAACGCUGGCGGCGUGCCUAAUACAUGCAAGUCGAGCGAAAAGACGAGGAGCUUGCUCCUUCGACGUUAGCGGAGGACGGGUGAGUAACACGUAGGUAACCCACCUAUAAGACUGGGAUAACUUCGGGAAACCGGAGCUAAUACCGGAUAAUAUUUCGAACCGCAUGGUUCGAUAGUGAAAGAUGGCUUUGCUAUCACUUAUAGAUGGACCUGAGCUGUAUUAGCUAGUUGUUACGUUCAAGGCUUACCAAGGCAACGAUACGUAGACGACCGGAGAGGGGGAUCGGCCACACUGGAAGUUAGACACGGUCCAGGCGACUACGGGAGGCAGCAGUAGGGAAUCGUCCGCAAUAGGCGGAAGCCUUACGGAGCAAGGCCGCGUGAGUGAUGAAGGUCUUCGGAUCGUAAAACUCUGUUAUGAGUGAAGAACAAACUUGUAAGUAACUGAGCACGUCUUGACGGUACCUAAUCAGAAAGCCACGGCUAACUACGUG